GUAGGUGGCAAGCGUUGUCCGGGAAUUAUUGGGGCGUAAAGCGCGCGCAGGCGGUUCUUUAAGUCUGAUGUGAAAGCCCACGGGCUCAACCGUGGAGGGUCAUUGGAAACUGGAGAACUUGAGUACAGAAGAGGAAAGCGGAAUUCCACGUGUAGCGGUGAAAUGCGUAGAGAUGUGGAGGAACACCAGUGGCGAAGGCGGCUUUCUGGUCUGUAACUGACGCUGAGGCGCGAAAGCGUGGGGAGCAAACAGGAUUAGAUACCCUGGUAGUCCACGCCGUAAACGAUGAGUGCUAAGUGUUAGGGGUUUCCGCCCCUUAGUGCUGCAGCUAACGCAUUAAGCACUCCGCCUGGGGAGUACGGCCGCAAGGCUG
This 373-nucleotide ribosomal RNA is filed under the name uncultured organism. Its description in RNAcentral is "partial 16S ribosomal RNA". It matches the Rfam family "Bacterial small subunit ribosomal RNA", at positions 527 to 896 of the family's 1533-position model. The record is from RNAcentral.